Molecule: unclassified non-coding RNA, 709 nt
Filed under: uncultured fungus
Lineage: Eukaryota; Fungi
Description: partial miscellaneous RNA
Rfam family: 5.8S ribosomal RNA (bases 291-445)
Source: RNAcentral
CUUGGUCAUUUAGAGGAAGUAAAAGUCGUAACAAGGUUUCCGUAGUGAACCUGCGGAAGGAUCAUUAACGUAUCGAAUGAGGGGUGGGGUUGGAUGCUGGCCCGUGAGCGACGUGCUCGCCCCGCCCGUCUUCUACAUCCACACACCCGUGCACCUUUGGGCGAGCGUCCUCCGUUUGGAGCCGUCCGGCGCGUUUCCGCGUCGGACCGGGGCGCUCUCCAACACACACGCACCGCAGCCUGUCUUUGUAACGCAUGUAAACCGCCCCACGGGGUGACAAAAGUUAAUACAACUUUCAACAACGGAUCUCUUGGCUUUCGCAUCGAUGAAGAACGCCGCGAAAGUGCGAAACGUAAUGUGAAUUGCAGAAUUCAGUGAAUCAUCGAAUCUUUGAACGCACCUUGCGCUCCUUGGUAUUCCGAGGAGCAUGCCUGUUUGAGUGUCGUGAACCCCCCCUCAACCCCGUUUCCCUUUGUCGGAGCGGGUUUGGAUUUGGACGCCUCGGCCGCCGCCGCUCGUCUUUAAACGCAUUAGCUUGGUCCCUCUGGUCGGUCCAAAACGACGGUGUGAUAACAAACGCUUAGUGCGCCGUUCGUCGCCGGACCGGUGGGGUCGUUACAGCCGUCUUCGGACAAGCCCCUUUCACGUCGUCUGACCUCAAAUCAGGUAGGACUACCCGCCGAACUUAAGCAUAUCAAUAAGCGGAGGA